UACGGGGGGGGCAAGCGUUGUUCGGAAUUACUGGGCGUAAAGGGCUCGUAGGCGGCCGACUAAGUCAGACGUGAAAUCCCUCGGCUCAACCGGGGAACUGCGUCUGAUACUGAUUGGCUUGAGUUCGGGAGAGGGAUGCGGAAUUCCAGGUGUAGCGGUGAAAUGCGUAGAUAUCUGGAGGAACACCGGUGGCGAAGGCGGCAUCCUGGACCGACACUGACGCUGAGGAGCGAAAGCCAGGGGAGCAAACGGG
RNAcentral lists this ribosomal RNA (253 nucleotides) under uncultured bacterium. RNAcentral's name for it is "partial 16S ribosomal RNA". It matches the Rfam family "Bacterial small subunit ribosomal RNA", at positions 524 to 776 of the family's 1533-position model. The record is from RNAcentral.